GGGGGGGGGGGACUUGGGGGGUGUUAACCCGAGCAUCCCUGGACCCGCGUCCCCUCCGGCUCCGUGGAGGGGCUGGUCAACCUGUCCCCUCUGUCCCCAGAUCGGAGGCAGCCUCCCCCUGCCCCGCUCGCAGCCCCGACGCCAGGGUGAUGGGCACAGGCUGCCCUCUCGGCUGCGCCAGCUUGGGAGCACCCCAGGGAGGACCAGCCCCUGAGAGCUCAAGUGCAACAGCAGGAGCAGCAGCAAAGCCGAGGGUCCCUGUCUCACCAUCCCCGACCCCCAUGUCAGCAACUGCUCGGCCAAGCGGCACG
Molecule: long non-coding RNA, 311 nt
Filed under: Anser cygnoides (Swan goose)
Lineage: Eukaryota; Metazoa; Chordata; Aves; Anseriformes; Anatidae
Description: lncRNA (ENSACDG00005002321.1)
Source: RNAcentral